This 73-nucleotide transfer RNA is filed under the name Johansenicoccus eremophilus. RNAcentral describes it as "Chlorophyceae sp. KF-2023a tRNA-Thr". It matches the Rfam family "tRNA". Rfam says of the family: Transfer RNA (tRNA) molecules are approximately 80 nucleotides in length. Their secondary structure includes four short double-helical elements and three loops (D, anti-codon, and T loops). Lineage: Eukaryota; Viridiplantae; Chlorophyta; Chlorophyceae; Sphaeropleales. The record is from RNAcentral.
GCCUUUUUAACUCAGUCGGUAGAGUAUUUGCUUAGUAAGCAAAAAGUCACCGGUUCAAGUCCGGUAAGAGGCU